AUGGGAUAUUAUUAUAACACGACAAUACAGACAUGGGCAAACUUCGACCUUUCCGGUGGUUUGGACUUCGGAAACCGGCUGCUCGGAAUUGUGGGAGUUGUAGUCCAAAGCCCUCCCAAGCCACGCCCCCGCGUCCGUGACGUCACGCGACGUUUUCAUUCAAACGUUUCUUUUUCCCGCCUUCUUCCUUUCUCAGUCAUGGCGGAUUUUUCCCAAGAGCAGCAGGAUGCUGACCCUUCCGCAGCCGGAGGUCAUCCAGAUCUCAUUCUAUGGACGGAGCCAUUGGAUUGGCUGGAGGAGAUCCUUCCGGGUUCGCCAAUCAUAGCUAAUCUCCGCCGAAGUCUGUUCCGUCCUGCGAAUACUCGGACCCCUCUUGUGUUGACCCCGGGAGACAUCCGGAUGUCGGCUUGCACAGAAGGCGAACCUGAAUGGCGGCGCGAUGAAUCCUGCAUCGAGAACCCUGUUUCCGAAACCCAGUCUUCCACCUUGGAGGCGGUUUCCAGUCCUCCUUGGGCAUCGUCCGCAGCGCCCUCCCCAUACGUCUCGGAAUUUGGUGCAAACUCCUCCGUGGAAGCAAACGUUUCUGGUUUCCGACAAGAACGGUGUACCAGCACUCCUCUCUCCACUCCAAACACUUUAGGGUUUGGGUCCGGCACUUCUGCAGAGGAGCAGAACCCCAAUCCAUUUACCGCCGUUGUCCUAACUGAGUCCUCGAAUGUCUCCAAGUUUGCCACGACUGAGAUCAGCGCUUCUGUGGAGGACGGAAAUCCCAAUGGGUCGACUCCCGUUGAGAUCGGCAUCUUCACUGAAGGAAAUAAUCCCGAUGAAUCAACCACUGUUGGGAUCGGCAGUUUCACCGAAGGAAAUAAUCUCAACGAGUCAACCGCUGUUGGAAUCGGCAGCUUCACCAAAGGAAAUAUUCUCAACGAGUCUACUGCUGUCAGGAUUGGCAGCUUGACUGAAGGAAAUAAUCCCGACAAGUCGACCGCUAUUGAGAUCGGCAGCUUCACAGAAACAAAUAAUCCUGAUGAGUCGACUGCCAUUGGGAUCGGCAGCUUCACCAAGAGAAAUAAUCCCAAUGAGUCGACCGCUGUUGGGAUCCGGCAGUUUCACCGAGAUAAAUAAUCUUGAUGAGUUAACUGCUGCUGGGAUCAGUUUCAUUGAGAGAAAUAAUCCUGACAAGUUGACCGCUGUUGGGGAUUGGCAGCUUCACUGAGCGAAAUAAUCCCUAUGAGUCGACCGCUAUUGGGAUUGGCAGCUUUAUCGAAGGAAAUAAUCCUGACGAGUCGACCACUGUUGGGAUCGGCAAUUUCACCGAGAUAAAUAAUCUCGAUGAGUUAACUGCUGCUAGGAUCGGUAAUUUCAUCGAGAGAAAUAAUCCCAACGAGUCGACCGCUAUUGGGAUCAGCAGCUUCACCGAAAAAAAUAAUCCCAACGAGUUGCCCGCUGUUGGGAUUGAUAGUUUCAUUAAGGGAAGUGAUCCUGACGAGUCAACCACUGUUGGGAUCGGCACUUCCGCAGGUGAAAAUACUCUCGAUACAUUCACGGCAAGGGCGGUUGCUACCUCUGCUGCCGGGACGAACAGUUUCUCUGUGGAAAAUAAUCCGGACGAGUCUGGCACCGUCAGGAUCAGCACCUCCAAGGAGGAUAAUACUUCCGACAUGCUUGCUGUCACUACCGAGGUUGGUGAAACCCCCAAAAAGGAGGGAGUGGCCUCUUUCUUGGCAAAGGAUGAGGAUCCCGGUGCCAUUCUUUCUUCCGACGGAGGACCGAAUAGUACGGAGGGAGGUGCGAGCACUUCUGUUUUGCUGACACGAGGAGAGCGUUCCGGCGCCACCACGUCCGCAUUGGCUUGGGUGUCAACCCCGACCAUUUCAGAUACCGGUGUCAGCACUCGUACUUGCUGUCCCCGCGAAGACCCCAUUGUGGCCUCUCUCGGUUGCGAAUGUCACGGCGCAUGGACGUCCCCCUUGAGUUUGUUGGACGGCUCCCCGGAAGGGUUCGCUCUCGACUUUCGACCGGCAACGUGCAGGAAUGCGACCGCGAACCCCAAGGUUUGGACGACACCUCCGAACCUUCCCUCCGCCAGGCAGAACAUGACGGUGGGGACCACCAUCACGCCGGUGUGCGUGGCCUCGGCAACCACCUGGACCUCCCCUCCCGCCCUCGUUGGGGUUGCGGUCAACACCUCCCCUGCCGAGAAGGCCGCCACCAAAGACAACGUGGCCGAAACUGACUCUCUUCUGUGGCGGUGAGUGGGCCUCCGGGGGUUUCCUGGGUCAAUUUAGCUAUUGAUAUGAAAUAUCCCAUGUUUCUCAGAAAACCACGUUCCAAAGAUUAUCUAUAUCUAUCUUCCAAUCUGUUUGCCUGUCUAUCUUUCUACCUAUUUUCCUGUCUGUCUCUCUUCCUAUUUAUCCAUUAUUUUUCUAUCUUCCUGUCUUUCUAGCUUUCUAUCUUGCCUAUCUAUCUACAUUCCUAUCUAUCCCAUAUCUUUCUUUCUAUCCGUCUAGCUGUCUGUCUGUCUAUCUGACCGUCCCAUUUGUAUGUAUGUAUACACACACACCUGUGUGAAUGUGUGUAUCCCAAUCUGUCUUUCUAUCUCUUCAUCUAUCUAUCUAUCUAUCUAUCUAUCUUCCUCAGUAUAUCUGCAUGUAUCUAUCUAAUCUACAUACCUAUCUAUCGUUCUAUCUAUUCCAUCUCUCUCUCUCUCCCUAUCUUUGAGACAGUCCCUUUUGUCUUCAUAUAUAUGCACAUAUCUGUGUGACUGUGUAUCCAUAUCUUCAUCUUGCCUACCUUCCGAUCUAUCUAUCUUCCUGUCAUCUGUUAGUCUAUCCCUGUCUUCCUAUCUUUUUGUCUAUAUCUACCUACCUGUCUGUCUAUCCUAUCUCUCUUCCUGUCUGUCUGGCUAUCCAUCCAUCCAUCUAUCCACCCAUCUACCAUAAUAUCUUACCUAUCUAUAUCAUCUAUCUAUCCAUCCAUCCCACGCGAUCAAUCUUAUCUAUCCAUCCAUCCAUCCAUCUUCCUAUCUAUCUGUCUACCUACCUGACUACCUUCCUGUCCGUCUAUCCAUCCAUCUAUCUAAUCUAUCCAUCCAUCCAUCGUAUCUACGCAUCAGCCAGCCAUCCAUCUUGCCAUCUACCUAUCUACCUGACUACCUGUCUGGCCAUCCGUCCAUCCAUUUAUCUAUCCAUCAAUCCAUCCAUUCAUCCAUCUAUCUAUCUUUCUGUCUACCUAUCUACCUACCUAUCUACCUACCUCCGUGGCUGCCUGGCCCGACUAUCAAACCUAUAAUCCAUCUGUCCUACCGUCAUAAGCAUCCAGCCCAUCCGUC
Molecule: long non-coding RNA, 3331 nt
Organism: Anolis carolinensis (green anole)
Lineage: Eukaryota; Metazoa; Chordata; Lepidosauria; Squamata; Anolidae
Source: Ensembl